AAUGAAGUGCCUGAGAUUAAAAGGAUUAUUUUGAUAGAAUAAAAAAUGUAAAAAAAAUUGCCUUCAUUU
This 69-nucleotide transfer RNA is filed under the name Lymexylon navale. RNAcentral describes it as "tRNA-Ile". Lineage: Eukaryota; Metazoa; Arthropoda; Insecta; Coleoptera; Lymexylidae. The record is from RNAcentral.